Molecule: ribosomal RNA, 440 nt
Filed under: uncultured bacterium
Lineage: Bacteria
Description: bacterial SSU rRNA
Rfam family: Bacterial small subunit ribosomal RNA
Source: RNAcentral
AUUGAACGCUGGCGGUAUGCCUAACACAUGCAAGUCGUACGAGAGUUUUUAACUCUAGUGGCGGACGGGUGAGUAACACGUGAGAAUUUGCCUUUAGGAGGGGGACAACAAUUGGAAACGAAUGCUAAUACCCCAUAUGCUUUCGAGUGAAAUGGAUUUUAUCCGCCUAGAGAGAAGCUCGCGGCUGAUUAGCUUGUUGGUAAGGUAAGAGCUUACCAAGGCGACGAUCAGUAUCUGGUUUGAGAGGACGAUCAGACACACUGGAACUGAGACACGGUCCAGACUCCUACGGGAGGCAGCAGUGGGGAAUUUUCCGCAAUGGGCGAAAGCCUGACGGAGCAAUACCGCGUGAGGGAAGACUGCCUAUGGGUUGUAAACCUCUUUUUUCAGGGAGGAAUAAAUGACGUGUACCUGAAGAAUAAGCAUCGGCUAACUCCGUG